This 272-nucleotide ribosomal RNA is filed under the name uncultured bacterium. RNAcentral's name for it is "partial 16S ribosomal RNA". It matches the Rfam family "Bacterial small subunit ribosomal RNA", at positions 524 to 794 of the family's 1533-position model. The record is from RNAcentral.
UACAGAGACUGCAAGCGUUAUUCGGAUUCACUGGGCGUAAAGGGUGCGCAGGCGGCCAUGUGUGUCAGGUGUGAAAGCCCGAGGCUCAACCUCGGAAUUGCGCCUGAAACUACAUGGCUAGAGUACUGGAGAGGGUAGCGGAAUUCAUGGUGUAGCAGUGGAAUGCGCAGAUAUCAGGAGGAACACCUAUGGCGAAGGCAGCUCGCUGGAACGGAUACUGACGCUGAGGCGCGAAAGCGUGGGGAGCGAACAGGAUUAGAUACCCGGGUAGU